Long non-coding RNA from Oncorhynchus tshawytscha (Chinook salmon), 565 nucleotides. NCBI's taxonomy places the organism in Eukaryota, Metazoa, Chordata, Actinopteri, Salmoniformes, Salmonidae. The record is from Ensembl.
GGAGGGGCGGCAGGGUAGCCUAGUGGUUAGAGUGGAGGGGCGGCAGGUAGCCUAGUGGUUAGAGUGGAGGGGCGGCAGGUAGCCUAGUGGUUAGAGUGGAGGGGCGGCAGGUAGCCUAGUGGUUAGAGUGGAGGGGCGGCAGGGUAGCCUAGUGGUUAGAGUGGAGGGGCGGCAGGGUAGCCUAGUGGUUAGAGUGGAGGGGCGGCAGGGUAGCCUAGUGGUUAGAGUGGAGGGGCGGCAGGUAGCCUAGUGGUUAGAGUGGAGGGGCGGCAGGUAGCCUAGUGGUUAGAGUGGAGGGGCGGCAGGUAGCCUAGUGGUUAGAGUGGAGGGGCGGCAGGUAGCCUAGUGGUUAGAGUGGAGGGGCGGCAGGGUAGCCUAGUGGUUAGAGUGGAGGGGCGGCAGGGUAGCCUAGUGGUUAGAGCGUUGGACUAGUAACCGGAAGGUUGCAAGUACAAAUCCCCGAGCUGACAAGGUACAAAUCUGUCGUUCUGCCCCUGAACAGGCAGUUAACCCACAGUUCCUAGGCCGUAAUUGAAAAUAAGAAUUUGUACUUAACUGACUUGCC